This 253-nucleotide ribosomal RNA is filed under the name uncultured bacterium. Its description in RNAcentral is "partial 16S ribosomal RNA". It matches the Rfam family "Bacterial small subunit ribosomal RNA", at positions 524 to 776 of the family's 1533-position model. The record is from RNAcentral.
UACAGGGGGGGCAAGCGUUGUCCGGAAUCAUUGGGCGUAAAGGGCGCGUAGGCGGCCAUCUAAGUCAGACGUGAAAUCCCCCGGCUUAACCUGGGAACUGCGUCUGAUACUGGACGGCUGGAGUUUGGGAGAGGGAUGUAGAAUUCCAGGUGUAGCGGUGAAAUGCGUAGAUAUCUGGAGGAAUACCGGUGGCGAAGGCGGCAUCCUGGACCAAUACUGACGCUGAGGCGCGAAAGCUAGGGGAGCAAACGGG